RNAcentral lists this small nuclear RNA (21 nucleotides) under Arabidopsis thaliana (thale cress). RNAcentral's name for it is "snRNA_08921". The record is from RNAcentral. Lineage: Eukaryota; Viridiplantae; Streptophyta; Magnoliopsida; Brassicales; Brassicaceae.
UCAUCUAGUAGAUUGGAUAAA